This 534-nucleotide long non-coding RNA is filed under the name Rattus norvegicus (Norway rat). RNAcentral describes it as "long non-coding RNA NONRATT029874". The record is from RNAcentral. Lineage: Eukaryota; Metazoa; Chordata; Mammalia; Rodentia; Muridae.
CGGCCGCGUUGAGCUGUGCGGCGCGGGCCGGGCGAGCUGCCGCCUGCGCCCGAAGCGAGCGGAGCGCGGCCAUGCCCGGGCCCCUAGCGCGCUGCCGCAGCCCGCGCCCGGCGCCGCCUUCUUCAAUGGGCAACCUGCUCGGCGGGGUCCAGCUUUCGCGGAGCCCACCACCUGGGAGGAUUGGGCUUCCACUUGGCAGACCGACUUGGAGGCCCGAGCCUGAGCAGCCGGGGCCGGCAGGCGGUGGCGAGGGCCAGGAGCAGGACGAGCGGGAGCAGCCCGAGCAGCCUCCCGAGAGAGCCGGAGGGCGACCCCGCGCCAGUCCGGUGCCCGAGGACCACGCGGAGGCGGCGGGCGCGGAGCAGGGUGGUGAUUCCACGGAAGGAAAUGCUAAACCAAAGAGAAGCUUCUAUGCGGCGAGGGAUCUGUACAAGUACCGACAUCAGUACCCACAGAACUUCAAAGAUAUCCGAUACCAAAAUGACUUGAGCAACCUUCGCUUUUAUAAGAAUAAAAUUCCGUUUAAGCCAGAUG